CGAACUUUAAGGAACAGUCAGGUGCAAGACCAUGAGUGGAGUAGGAGCGCAGAAGGACAAAAAUAAAGCAUUGUUGUUGACUCCUCCUUUUGUUUGGGCUGGGGAUUGAAUCCAGGGCCCCAUGCAUGCCAGCCUGGGGCUCUAGCACUAAACUAUAUCCUCUCCCGCCUUUAAAUAUGUUUUAUUUUAGGGCAGAAUCUCACUAAAUUGCCCCGGCUGGCCUCAAACAUGAGAUCCUCCUUGCUGCAGCUUCUCAGUUUACAAUUAACAUUCCUGGUUUAGUCUCCACCCCCUCUUGAAAUGGAAUUUUUAUCUCUUGAUUCCUGCUACAAGAUGCGAUGCCUGUUUAUCCAGUUGCAUGAAUAAUUGGUCAGCUCUUUCCAACUUGCCAGAAGCAACCCCUGGCCGUUUCUGGAGCACUGGGAGAGACCUUCGCACAGUUUCUGCUUGGAGUCCACCGCUCUUCAUCUCAGGUGGAGGUUUGUGAGUUACAGGUUAGGCAUUCAGGCUACAGCGUUGGGGGUGUAGGGGCCUGCCACUGUCCACGGUUUUCUGGACUCCAUCUGUGACAGGUGUGAACCUGGAUUCCAUCGGGAGCCUCCCUGGCAGGCAGUUUCAGAGUUCACAGCAUUAAUUAACUCUAAUCUGCUCCCUGAUAGUUUAAACCAGGCCCAAGACGCGGAAGCAUUUUCUUUCCUACAUAUUUAAUGGAUAUAAUGAGAUAACAAUGAGAACCUGUGUUUAGACUCUUUAAUGCAUUUGGCUCUCUGGCUGCGUUUGUAUGGUAAAAGGCAGUGGAUGUUAUUUAUGUGCUUAGCUGGGACUUAUCCUUUUGAAACAGGUCUAGACAGCUACCUGUUCUAUUUGGCUUAGCCUGUGCUGCAGAAAGUCCCAGUUCUUCCAAAUCAAGGCCUGGCAUCCCCAUGGAAGGGAAGCAAAACAAAUCUCUUCGAGGAGCAAAUGAAUCAAUUCAUCAUUUCUGGAAGGUGUGGAGUUCUAUAGCUGGCUUGAGGCAGAUGGAACAUAAACCAAUGAUGUCAGUAGAUCUAUCG
This 1052-nucleotide long non-coding RNA is filed under the name Heterocephalus glaber (naked mole-rat). Its description in RNAcentral is "lncRNA (ENSHGLG00100048782.1)". The record is from RNAcentral. Lineage: Eukaryota; Metazoa; Chordata; Mammalia; Rodentia; Bathyergidae.